GUAAGGGAUAUUGGUCAAUGGGCGAAAGCCUGAACCAGCAACGCCGCGUGGAGGAUGAAGGCCUUCGGGUUGUAAACUUCUUUGGAGGGGGACGAAUAAUGACGGUACCCCUCGAACAAGUCACGGCUAACUACGUGCCAGCAGCCGCGGUAAAACGUAGGUGGCGAGCGUUAUCCGGAUUUACUGGGCGUAAAGGGUGUGCAGGCGGGACCUCAAGUGGUGCAUGAAAGCUCUCGGCUUAACCGAGAAACGGUGUGCCAGACUGAGGACCUAGAGGGUGGGAGAGGGACGUGGAAUUCCGGGUGUAGUGGUAAAAUGCGUAGAGAUCCGGAGGAACACCAGAGGCGAAGGCGGCGUCCUGGCCCACAACUGACGCUCAUACACGACAGCAUGGGGAGCGAACGGGAUUAGAAACCCGGGUAGUCC
This 426-nucleotide ribosomal RNA is filed under the name uncultured bacterium. RNAcentral's name for it is "bacterial SSU rRNA". It matches the Rfam family "Bacterial small subunit ribosomal RNA", at positions 354 to 796 of the family's 1533-position model. The record is from RNAcentral.